ACCCGCCCUCCCACGCCCACCCCGACGCUUCGUACUCACUCAGCCUUCGCUCUCGGGAAGCGCGCAAAGUGCGCGUUUUGUGUUGCUGCGUUGCCAGGUCCAAGUUUUCCGCGGCUCCGCUAGACCUUGGGCUGCGGGGCCCACCGGCGGGUUAGACGCACGAGGUCUUCCAACCCCGCUCUGGCCCCCUCCCGCCCAGGGUGGCCUGUUGGCCACUGAGUUGUAGCAAGAAGUUACAGGCAAUGAACAAGUCCAUAUAUUUAAUUUUAGAACAUACAGGAUAAUUUAUUGAAGUCAAUCUCAAGCAAAAUCAGAAAUCAGUGGAAUGUCAUUAAAAAUCUUCCAAAUUAAUCCUCACGGAAGCAAAAAAAAAAAAAAAAAAAUUUGAAUCCCAAAAUAUUUGUAAAAUAAAAAAGGUAACAUCUCAGUAAAUAGAAUGUACAAAAAUUAUAUGUUCCUACCAGCACACACAGUAGUAAGAAGCUUAAAUAUUACAGGCAAUCCUAAUACACUGUAACUAGUCAACAAUAACCUAUCUAUAUACAGGUUAACCAAGCUUUAAACGUUUCACACUAUGCAAUAAAACAUGGGCCAAUCAACAAAAUCCCCAAAAUAUCAUAUAUCUUGAAGUCUAUGUGGCAACAUCAAGUCAUUAUUCAGUAAUGCCCUAGUGGAACACGCCCCAGGGAAAAUGAACACUAAUCCUUAGUAUCAGGAGCUUCUAGCCAAGUCACAGAAACUCUAAUAAAAGAGAUUGACUUUUAGUGAAUAUUGAUCUUUGUUAUUAAAGACUCAAGUCUCAAGUGAUUUAGGCAAAAUAACAUUUCACAGGAUCUACAAAGUUUAUUACAGAUAAACAAAGUACAGAAAUAACCAAUCUACAAAGGUCAUUAUCAUAGAUAAAGAUCACGAGGAAAUGAAAACAGAAUCUGUAGGUAUCUGUGGUUGUUGUGCAAUAUCACAAGUGGAUACAAAUGGAUUUCUCAUGUCAAUUCCAAUUAUGCACACACCCCUAUAUAUAAAAAGAACCUUAUUAUUAGCCAGUUGCAAUCAUCAUUUAGCAUCUUAGUUAUCAGUGGCGAUAGGAUUUUCUUGUUUAACAUGGAGGGCAUGUGACAGCACGAAUGAGAUAAAGAGCAAUGUUAGUGACAAUGAAGGAAAAGGACAUUUUAUCCAGUCCACUUCUAAACUGACAAGAGUUACACCAUAUACACCCCUCAUCUACGUCAUCUGAUGGAUACUGACAGCGGUGUGCACACAUCAGAGGUCUGGCGGCUAGGGAAGGGGAACCCGAGGGUGCUUUCUUGCCAAUUAGCAGAUGCGGUGAUGUCACACGAGAAGACGAAGGACUGAAUAAAGGACUUUGGCAACUACUCCUCUUUUCCCUUUCUCUUACAUGCUAAUGACUUUGAGAUGCUCCUGAAGGACAGGUAUUUCUCUACCUCCUACCCCUUCGUACAAAUGUGCCACAAGCACCUGAACUUGUCACUUAAGCCAUGGACUGACUGGAGAAAGAACGGAAAUGGGUUUGAAACACACAGGUCACACCUGGCAUUUCAGGAGUGUAACGUAAGUGCAAAGUUCUUUUUUUCCCUACACAGGCAUCUAUUAAAAGGAAAGAAGAGGUGUGUGGGGAUAGGGUUGACAAAAUAAAAAAGUAAAGAACAUACGUAGGAAAUACUCAUGUAAAUGCUGCUGGUAUUUCUCAUGCAGGAGUCUCUUCCCCGACUAUGUGCACUGAAUCUGAGAGACCUAGUGUGGACGCUCCCGUGUGCAGAACUUUGCCUCUAAUCCAACUUCAAGAGGAGAAGAGCUCUAAAUUGAUAGGAAAAAAGGGGACACACGGCACAACUGAAGGAACGUCAUGGAGCAUCUAUCUUCCCAGCCUUUUUGUAAGGUCUCUGGGUACUUCGGGAGGGAAAAUAAAUGCUGCCAGGUACAGGCAAUUGUAAGCAGUCAAAAUUCACAGAGAAAGUUAACGUUCAUUCAAGCUAACCCUAGACUUCUACUUAGUACAGUGUUACAACAAGGUCUGACAGGACUAAUGGAUCCAUACAGGGGAUCCUGGAGUAGACAUAUUCCUACGCAUUACAAGUAAGGGAGUUGUGUGGGCAGACAGUCCGCUUCACGAGUGUCUAUUCUUGCCAAUACUGCUUUCUCGGGAGCUCUCCCUAAGUGCUUCCUGCAGUGAAGUGUGUUUGCGGGGCCCUUACCUACCCUGCACAAGUGCUUCCCUUCCCCGGUGGGGCAAGUCUAAGGACUGGAUAACUGACAGGUAACUUGGGGAAUGCCCUGACCCCUUUCACCCUCAAAUGUGGAGUUAAACAGAAAGAGCUACUCAAAUCACACAAAUUCAAAUUCAUUUGUGUAGUUUCCCUGAGGAAACUGAUGUCUGACCGGGAGACGGAAAUAAAACGCCCACAUUCUCUCCAAGCCAGACCAAGGUCCACAGCACGCUGGACAGACAAGGGAGCUCCUCUGAUCCGACUUUUGGUCCGUGCCCUUCAUCUGCCUUUAGCUGCCUUUACCAGUGCCCCAGGAUAAUAGGAAUGUCCAUUCAAACACUGCAUUCACAUCCCACAUAAAUGAACUUCACCAAAAUACCCAUUAUUAUCGGAGAACAUUUCAGACUCGGUGAGGCCAUCCACUUCUAGUUUCCUCCAGAAGGAAAAACCAGCAACCACAUUACAUACCUUUCUAGGUAAAGUCAUAUCAGAAAGCCCGCCGAGUGUAAGACCACAGAGGUAAUAUCCACUGAGGGCUUUUGUUUUCAAGAGGCCAGGUUCAGUCCUCCCAGAGCCAUCUCUAAGACCAUGAGAGACACCUGGAAGGGAAAGCGAAGCCGGCCACCCUUCUGCCCGGGAGAGGGGCCUGUGACACCACCAGACCCUUUUCUAGAGGGCUUUCUGCAAUUCCUACUUAAAACACACAUGUACACACAUACACAGAUCAGACUAUCUGAACUAUGCGUCUCAGAAUCUUAAAAAAUGAAAAUAAAUAAAGGAAUGAUGACUACUUUUGUUUUGUACACCCAUGGAACACAGCCUAGACUUUAAAUUUAUCUCAUUAACAAAAAACUUUCUUUUCUGUCUGUUCUUAUUUUAAAAAGCGAAGACAGCUCUUUUUUCCCAGCUGCAAAGGCUCUGAAGCACAGUAAAAGGCAAGAAAAGACCAAGUGAAUCUAACCCUCCACAAAGGAAUUCCCAAACCGACAGAACUGAAAACACCAGAGCCCACCACCGGCUUCGGCCUGCGGACCAUCUCCCCGCUCCUGCUUUUGCAAGGCAGGGCCGCUGGCCAAGGCUGCCCGCGUUGCAGCGGUCUCUUCUUGCACUGACGUGUCCUCUACUUUUUUCUUUUCCUUUUUUUUCCUUUAAAUAAAAAGAAGGACAUUUUCCCUGCCCAUUUACUCUUUGA
Long non-coding RNA from Bubalus bubalis (water buffalo), 3417 nucleotides. RefSeq lists it as uncharacterized. The transcript is spliced from 2 exons. The record is from RefSeq and is a predicted model, not a curated record. Lineage: Eukaryota; Metazoa; Chordata; Mammalia; Artiodactyla; Bovidae.